Molecule: ribosomal RNA, 466 nt
Filed under: uncultured Klebsiella sp.
Lineage: Bacteria; Pseudomonadati; Pseudomonadota; Gammaproteobacteria; Enterobacterales; Enterobacteriaceae
Description: bacterial SSU rRNA
Rfam family: Bacterial small subunit ribosomal RNA
Source: RNAcentral
CCUACGGGUGGCUGCAGUGGGGAAUAUUGCACAAUGGGCGCAAGCCUGAUGCAGCCAUGCCGCGUGUGUGAAGAAGGCCUUCGGGUUGUAAAGCACUUUCAGCGGGGAGGAAGGCGUUAAGGUUAAUAACCUUGUCGAUUGACGUUACCCGCAGAAGAAGCACCGGCUAACUCCGUGCCAGCAGCCGCGGUAAUACGGAGGGUGCAAGCGUUAAUCGGAAUUACUGGGCGUAAAGCGCACGCAGGCGGUCUGUCAAGUCGGAUGUGAAAUCCCCGGGCUCGACCUGGGAACUGCAUUCCGAAACUGGCAGGCUAGAUGCUUGUAGAGGGGGGUAGAAUUCCAGGUGGAGCGGUGAAAUGCGUAGAGAUCUGGAGGAAUAACGGUGGCGAAGGCGGCCCCCUGGACAAAGACUGACGCUCAGGUGCGAAAGCGUGGGGAGCAAACAGGAUUAGAUACCCGAGUAGUC